GGGCCUCCUCCGGGGAAUGCUGGGAAAUGGAGUCUACAGGCCGGAGGGGUGCCCCACGGCAUACUAGGAAGUGUGUAGCACCGGGUAAAGGGGAUGAAUAGCAGACUGCCCCGGGGCAGUUAGGAAUUCGACUGGACAGCCGCGUGGGAGGGAGUGCGGGGAGAGGCAGAGUUGUUUUGUUAUUGUUGUUUUAUUUUGUUUUCUUUGUUUUGAGACGGAGUCUCGCUCUGUCGCCACGCUGGAGUUCAGUGGCGCGAUAUCGGCUCGCUGCAACCUCCGCUUCCCAGGUUCAAGCAAUUCUGGCUCAGUCCCCAGAGUAGCUGGGAUAACAGGCGCGCGCCACCCCGCCCUGCUAAUUUUUAUAUUUUUAGUAGAGACGGGAUUUCACCAUGUUGGCCAUGAUGGUCUUGAUCUCUUGACCUCAUGAUCCGCCCGCCUCGGCCUGUAAUCCUGCUGGGAUGACGAGCGUAAGCCACCAUGCCCAGCUGGGUUUUAUUUAUUUUGGUUUUUUUCCUGACCCCUUAACUAGAAAUAAGCUCCACGAGAGCGGGAUCUUUUGUCUUCUGUGCACUACUUGUCCUCGGUUCUUAGAACAGAACCUGAGAGAACCUGAUCGCAAAUAUUUUUGGAAUGAAUGAAUGAAUGGGUUCACCAGGGCACCAUGGGAAACUGAGUCCGCAACCUAGAAGCCAUGAAAGACAGUCCACUUCCAAGCUUCCCUGGGUGACCUCGCAGGGCAUGCUGGGAAAUGAAAUUUGCGGUGAAAAGGACAGAAGAGUCAAUUUUAUACUUUUGUGGAUGUUCUAACUUCACCUGCUUAUCUGAACCAUCUUUAUGGUGCAGACUAAUAUCUAUUUUUCUGCUGUUACAGAAGAAGUGGGAACAUUUUCUUCUUAUCUUUCUGAGGUUAUUUACACCAGUGAGGAGGGCCUGCAGUUCCAAGGUUAAGCACCAACAUUCCACUGUUACCAUUGAGAGCAAAGAGCAGACCCUAGAAGUGAAAACAAAACCUUUACCACAGGAAGACAAGAGCAAAAGAUGAUGUUCUU
Long non-coding RNA from Homo sapiens (human), 1049 nucleotides. The record is from Ensembl. Lineage: Eukaryota; Metazoa; Chordata; Mammalia; Primates; Hominidae.